AUUGAACGCUGGCGGCAUGCCUUACACAUGCAAGUCGAACGGCAGCACGGGAGCAAUCCUGGUGGCGAGUGGCGAACGGGUGAGUAAUAUAUCGGAACGUGCCCAGUCGUGGGGAUAACGUAGCGAAAGCUACGCUAAUACCGCAUACGAUCUAUGGAUGAAAGCGGGGGAUCGCAAGACCUCGCGCGAUUGGAGCGGCCGAUAUCAGAUUAGGUAGUUGGUGAGGUAAAGGCUCACCAAGCCGACGAUCUGUAGCUGGUCUGAGAGGACGACCAGCCACACUGGGACUGAGACACGGCCCAGACUCCUACGGGAGGCAGCAGUGGGGAAUUUUUGGACAAUGGGCGCAAGCCUGAUCCAGCAAUGACCGCGUGCAGGAUGAAGGCCUUCGGUUGUAAC
This 399-nucleotide ribosomal RNA is filed under the name uncultured bacterium. RNAcentral's name for it is "bacterial SSU rRNA". It matches the Rfam family "Bacterial small subunit ribosomal RNA", at positions 30 to 429 of the family's 1533-position model. The record is from RNAcentral.